RNAcentral lists this long non-coding RNA (3086 nucleotides) under Triticum aestivum (bread wheat). RNAcentral describes it as "long non-coding RNA (TAES_LNC008980)". Lineage: Eukaryota; Viridiplantae; Streptophyta; Magnoliopsida; Poales; Poaceae. The record is from RNAcentral.
AUGUCCAAAUACCAUGGACAAUUGUAUGCUUGUAUUUCCAAAAAAAUGGGUCGGGCGGCUAAAAUCUGACCCGGUUCUAACUAAUAACCAAAACAAAACAAGGCAACUAUCACCAAACCCACCUGGACCGUUGCCCACGCUCUUUUUUCCUUUCCUGGACAACAAAUCACCUGACGAAGAAAAGGAACAAAAAUCAGCAGAAUACUGGGUCUCCCAGGACCCUCCUUUAACUUGCAUCACACAAGUCAUCUGGGAGGCGCCAUGGGAUAGGGGAAAUGAGGAGAAGAAAGAGUAGAAAAACAUCAGAGAGACGUCAUGGGAGAGAGGGAGUGAGAAGAAGGAAGAACAAAAACAAGUCAGAGAGGCACAUCAGAGGGGCAAGUACCUGGAGAGAAGCAAGGGGGGAGAACAGAUCCGAAUAAUUGGUGGAGGACAGAGGAAGAUCAUCCAAGAGACGGUCCACAGCUCAUGUAAUGUCCUACUCCUUUUGAUCACACUUCUAUUGAACUCUUCCAUGUUUUUCCUCACCCCGCUGCUCUACAUACACCUCCUACAUGAACUAGCCUGUAGAAAAAAAACAUCAUACAAUCUAGUGAAAUUUUUGGAAUCAUCAGGGGGAAAAUUCUAACUGUCGGAAGGUAAAACUGUUAAUAUUUCACUGUCAAAACACUACACCAACACGAAUUCCAGUGUAAGGUACACAUGAAAAAAACUUUGCUGCAGUAUAGGGCAAUGUAGGUAGCAUGAACCAUGGGGAAAUUACAUGAAAAAAACUUUGCUGUAGUACACAUGAAAAAAUCUUUGCUGCGAUACAGGGCAAUGUAACUAACAUGAACUCAGUGGAUUACAGAGAUACAUGCAAGUUCAGACGAAGUCAUGAAUACAAAGACAUACCUAUCAGCAUAAAGAACACAAGUCCUAUCAGAUGAAGGCAUUAAUAUUGACAAUGAAAAGCAGAGCUUGUUACAGUGCUCGUACACAUAGACAGUGAAGGAAAUGAAUAAUCACACUAGUGGAUUACAAUGAUAAUAACCAGGGAACUACACAGGAUAAUCGCACUAAACAGAGUUAAAAUCCACUGUAAUUCAAGCAAAGCUGAACAAGAAUGAAGCUCAAAUAUCAAGUAAUAGAGGUUCAGCAGGAAAAUUACACUACUUUGUUUAGAAAAAAAAAUGAAAUUUACACUGAAGUUCUAGGAAAAAUUACACUGCAAUUCGGGGAAUAAUUACACUAUAAUUACAUAAAUAAAGCAUGACGUUUAAACUGUAAUUAUGGGGAAAAUUACACUGUAAUUACAUAAAUGAAGCAUGGAGUUUACACUGUAAUUCUAGGAAAAUUACACUGUAAUUAAAAAAUGAAGCAUUGGGAUUACACUAAAAUCUGGGCUAAAUUACACUGCAAUUCUAGGGUAUAUUACACUGCAAUUACAAAAAGGAAGCAUGGGGAUUGCAAUGAAAUUCUUGAAAAAUAGCUUUAUCAAACCCUCUAUCAUCACUAGAAAGAUCCUGAAAAAUAAUUCAGUCAACAAACAAAUUUUUUUAAUAAACUGAAAGAAAGAAUAAAAACGAAAAUGAAAGUAGAGAACAAGACAGAAAUAACUACCAAAGACAUAGCAUUAGAACCAUCUUCCGCAAAGUCAUUAGGCACAAAAGGAUCAUUCCAAGAAUCAGCACUCACGAUAGAAAAAACUACCGAAACAUCCUUGUGAGAGACUUUCCGUAGUCUCCCCAUUGACCUAAACCUAACAAAACAGAAUACAUGACACACGAAAAAAAAAGAAAUUAAAGAAAGUUGAAAAUUAUAGAGUAAUGGGGCUCAAUUACAAGGGAAAUCUCACAACAAAUACACUGAAAGGCAGCAAUCAGGGGAAUCAUAGAAUAAUGGGGCAUAUUAAUACAGUGCAAGAAUCACUUAAAAUACAGUGUAAAAACCAACCUAAAUACAGUGAAACUCUGAGUCAAAAUACACAAUAAUUAGGGCAACUUACAAUGAAAAGGUAGAGGAAGUACACUGCCAAAAACUGAAGAUAAAUUAUAUAGUAAGAAUGGGGGAUAUUACAGUGCAAAACCACAUGAAUGCAUGCAAAACAUCGGAGAAAAAUUACAAUGUAAAUAACAAAGAAACUGGCGCAGUAUUACACUGAAAAAUAUACACUGCAAUUUACACUGAAAGAAGCAUGAGAAUUACACUGUAACAGGGGGAAAUAUUACACAGUAACUCUAGGGAAAAUUACACAGUAAUUACAAAAUAAAGAAGCACGAAAAAAACAAUGUAAUUACGGUAUAUUACACUGUAAUUGCAGGCUAACCUACAGUGUGAUUCUACGACACAUGAGAAUUACACUGUAAUGGGGGAAAUUAUUACACAGUAAUUCUAGGACAAAUUACACAGUAAUUACAAAUAAAGAAGCACAAAAAAAACGGUAAUCACGGUAUAUUGCACUGUAAUUGCAGGGUAACCUACAGUGUAAUUCUACGACAUGUUACACAGUAAUUAUAGCAAAAUUUACACUGAAGAAAGAAGCAUCAGGAUUACACUGUAAUUAGGGGGGAAAUACACAGUACUACUAGGACAAAUUACAGAGUAACAACAAAUAAAGAAGCAUCAGGAUACACUGUAAAUGCACUGCAAUUAUGGGGCAAGUUACACUGUAAUUAUGAGUUAAAUCACACAGUAAUUCUGGAUGGGGAUACACUGUAAUUCUAGGGGUAAGUUACACUUCAAGUCUGGAGUAAAAAUACACCGUAAAGAAGCAUGAAAUUCAGAGAGAUUCCUGGACUAACACUACAACAACACUGCAGCCUAGUACACACAAAUUCAGAGAGAUUCAGGUACCGGGUGAAAUGAACACCUACAUCUAACAAAAAAAAUCAUACUGAAUUCCAGGGACUACAACAGCAAACAUCAGCAGCUAACAGCAACUAUAAGUAAACUGCAGAAGCAGGCAGAAACCCAUGCUAGACCAUCUGCAACUACAUCUAACGACAAAGGAACAGACACCCAGGCCACCAGAAAUAAAAUUGAUAGGGCGAAUCCACCGCUGCAACUAUAACUUCACCUACCUCUACAUCUACAUCAGAAUAAAC